GCAAGCGCCGCGUGUGUGUGACGUCAUCUGAGAGCGCCACACGCAGUCCCGAAACCCCGAGCACCAUCUAGCUAAGGCGUUGCUGUAGAGACGAUGCGCCGAGUCCCGCCACCGAGGUGGGAUAGGAGGAGAACCGGUCAGGUGACAAGGAUGACGUUUCGAAAGCGCGCAGGAGGUCCUGUCGAAACGCAGAGCCCAAAAACCAAUUUGAGGGGCGACUUGACCGAAGCAGAGAUGGUGUUUUGCCAUGUUGGCCAGGCUUGUCUCCAACUCUUGACCUCAGAAGAUCUACCCACCUCGGCCUCCUAAAGUACUAGGAUUACAGUGCCAACUCUGCCUGGCAAGGAUUUUUGACUCUCUCGCCCACUGCCACAGCCUGGUGCCAGCACAGUGCCAGGCAUGUCCACCCUGCAGCAUUUACUGAGUGCCCACUGCACACCAGGCACUCGUCCUGGCUGCUUCUGCAAAUGUUUCUCCAGUGACUGAAGAACUAAAAUUCUUUAAACUCAAAGGAACUGUUGUGUCUUCUGAUUCCUCCGAGAGCUUUGAGGAGCUGAGCAGAUGCAGUGUCACUUUGCUGUCUCCCUCCACCCCACUGCCCCUCUGACUUCAUAUAUCAGCUCUCCUCACAAACAUGGGAAAGUGGGGUCAUUCCCAGGAAAGGCAGAGCCUUCCAUGACUUAGGAACCCAGGUGUUUGUUCCACGGAGGUCAAUUGCUCCCAGCUUUCUCUGAGCUUCUAGGAGGAAAUGCAUCUGAAAUGCUGUCACCCUCCCCUGAUCAUUAACAGAGCUGUUGAACUGGCGGAGUUGUCAGCGAGGCAACCACAGGCAGGCAGGCAGCCAUCGCACCGGCUCUGCAGAGAGGGCUGGAGAGCUGAUGCCCACGCCACGGGAAAGGGCCGGCGCCUGAGCCAACAGCCUGACUGGAAAGUCUGUGUAAGGGACACCUGGAGGAAGCAGGGGCCUCCAGCACCUCCUCCACCAACUAACCCGUGGUGCUCACCCCGCCCGCCAUGGGGGCUCACCACCCUUCCUGCCCAGAGAUACAGCCAGGCCGGAGGCUCACGAGUGUUCUCCCAACAAAUUGGAACUUCUUUUCUUUCGUCUCAUUUGAAAAGGUCUUUUGUGAGCUAGCAAGUGACCCCAAAGUAACCUCUCUGUUCCUGUUGGAAGGGAAAAUAUUUCCAGAUCGGAGAGACUGCAGCGCCAAGCCUUGGCCUCUAUGAAUACUUGAUUAUGAACACAGUCUCCUGAGCAUGUGCCUGUCAGUUUCAGAAAUGAACCCUGGCCGGGUGCAGGGGCUCACGCCUGUAAUCCUUGCUCUUUGGAAGGCCAAGACAGAAGGAUCACUUGAGCCCAGGAGUUAGAGACUAGCCUGGGCAACAUGGUGAGACUCUGUCACUACAAAAAAAUUUUUUUUUAAUUAGCCAGUAUAGUGGUGCACACCUGUAGUCCUAGCUACUUGGGACAAUGAGGUGGGAGGAUUGCUUGAGUCUCGGAGGUCAAGGCUGCAGUGAGCCGUGAUCACACCACUGCACUCCAGCCUGGGCGACAGAGUAAGGCCCUGUCUCAAAAACAAUCAAAUCAAAUAAACCCUUAAGCAAAGUAACUGCCAAUCAAGAGGUUUAUUAUUUGCCCCAUUGAGUAACUUAAGACCAAAGCUUCACAUUUUUGAGGGUGUGAUGUCAUAAAAUUCCCACGUAUGACCACAUUUUGAAAAAGUCAUUGUGUAUGUCUUGGAAAGUGAGAGGGUUAGCCUGUAACUUGGAAGAUAAACUCCUGAACUGGAAGUUUGAGGUGUACAAGCAGAAUGGGCCACCGAGCUGUCACAUUUGCUACGGUGAACUCAUGUGACUGCCCCAGAAUUAUCUGGAAGUUCGGUGUUCAUCUUCUGAAAAGAGCUGGGACCUGGGCAUGCCGGCUGUCGUAAGGGCAGUGUGAGCAGCUUUCUAUUUACAACCUUUGCACCUGGCACCUCAGUAGCACUUGCUUUCCAAAGGGGACCCUCUUUCCCGUGGAUUUUUUUUCCCACCUUUCUCCUUCUCUGUGUUAGUCCAGUUUAUCUCAGCCUGCUGGCAUGAAGAGAAGGACAGUUACAAAAGCCAUUUAUAAAAGGAGCAGGGAGGUAGUGCGCUUUUGUCUUUGCUUCUAAAACUGGGGCCGGGUAGAGACAAGACGGCCUGAGAAACAAUGCUGGGAGUGAGGAGCACGGACCGGCCAGGGACCCAGAAAAGCAGGUUUCCCUGACUUCAUGGUAAAGAGAAGGCAAAGACAGGUACUUAAGGCCAUGGACCUUCCUAGUCCGCUUGGGUGAGGCCUUUGGACGCUCCCCUGGAACCCAGCAUGCCUAAUCAAAAACUCCAGAUCUGAGCCAGCCGUGAUGGUGGUGCCUGUAAGUCCCAGCUACUCUAGAUUCUGAGGCAGGAGGAUCACUUGAGCCCAGGAGUUUGAGGCCAGCUGGGCAACGUAGCAAGAUCCUGUCAAAUUCCAGAUCUGUCACCCUCAGUUGUCUCUAGGGAGAGAGGGGCUCAAGAAAGGAAGGAGCAUUUAGAAUGGGAUGAAGAAAGGCCAGAAACGAGGAAAUGGGGGAAUGCACAGCAAAGCAAUUUAAAGAAGAGCCUGAGACUAAGACAGGGAUGUCAGGAAACAAGCCCAUAGUUUCUGUUGUCCUCUACGUCCAAACACAUCUUCAUCGCCAAAUUAUAGACUGAGAAGUGACAAGGCUAAAACAGUCAAGGGCUGGGAACUUAAGACUGUAAAACAGGCCAGGGGUGGGAGCUCACACCUGUAAUCCCAGCACUUUGGGAAGCCAAAAUGGGCAGGCCACCUGAGGCCCGGAGUUAGAGACCAGCCUGGCCAACAUGAUGAAAUCCCAUCUCUACUAAAAAUAUAAAAAUUAGCCGGGUGUGGUGACACAUGCCUGUAAUCGCAGCUACUCGGGAGGCUGAGGCAUGAGAAUCAUUUGAACCCAGGAGACAGAGGUUGCAGUGAGCCGAGAUUGCACCACUGCACUCCAGCCUGGGUGACACAGUGAGACAGUCUCAAAAAACAAAAUGUAAAACAUCUCACUUCUGACCUUCAGAGGGUCCUCCGCUUCCUCUCCCUCCGUCUCCUCCCUCUCCCUUCUUCGCCCCUUCCCCCCACCUCCUUCUCCUCCCUUCUUCGCCUUUUUCCUCCACCUCCUUCUUCUCCCCCUACCCCUCCUCCUUCCUUCACCCUAGGCACAGUCUGUCUUGGAGGAGCAGGAACCGCUCUGAAUGACACUGGCUGGGACAGAAGUGCCCUGGGGUCAGGCCUGAGGCAUUCGGGCCCAAACAAGGCAGCAUUUAUGCACGGGAGCUUUUCAAGGAGGUUUUGCAGAUACAAGGACGUUGGACAGAGAGGAACAGAGAAAUUCCAGAGAUUUUUCACGUGCAAGCGGAUAUUUCCUUUGAGAGUUUCUAGACUAAAUAAUACUCCUUGUGUCUAAGGGGACGGUGUAUACUGCUGACCUGGCAAUGUUCUCUGCCUGCAACAUGAGUGUGGGCAGGCCCCGCAGCUGCCCGGAGAGGGCUGUAAGCAGAGGAAGGUGAGGUGGCCUCAAUAAGCGUCUCACUGGAAACAGUCGCUGCUGUGCCCUCUGACUGACGCAACGCCAUUUCAGAUGUGGAGGAAGAAUCUCCUGGCAGAUCUUGGUACUCAAAUGGGCUGGACCUCUAAGAAAAAUAUACCCAGGCCUCUCUGUUCACCAAUUUUCAUUCUUACAUACAUACAUAUUUAUUUAAACAGACUUUAUACUUUAAGUAUAAAGUCUGCCGCAAACUUGAGCAGAAAAUACGGAGGUCCCAUAGACUCCCUUUCCCAACAUACACACCACCUCCCCCACUUCAGCAUCCUGCCCCUGUUUCAUCCUACAGUCGAUGGAACGAUAUUCACACAUCAUUAUCGCCCACGUCCAUCACCUACAUUACAGACUCUUGGUGUCAUGCGUUCUGUGCAUUUUGACAAAUGUACCAUGACAUGGACCUGCCAUUGCUGUGUCAUACAGAGUAAUUUCAGUGUCUGAGAAUCCUCUGUGCUCCACCUGGUAACCCCUCCCUCCCCCAUCCCCUGGUCCCCAAAGCUUUGCAUUUUCCAGAAUGUCACAUAGUUGGAAUCGUAUGGAACGUUGCUUUUCAGAGUGGCUUCUUUCAUUUAAUAAUAUGCAUUUGCAUGUUUUC
Molecule: long non-coding RNA, 4200 nt
Organism: Callithrix jacchus (white-tufted-ear marmoset)
Lineage: Eukaryota; Metazoa; Chordata; Mammalia; Primates; Cebidae
Source: RefSeq, a predicted model, not a curated record